UAUGUGAUCGUCUCUCGCAUAUCAAUAAGCGGAGGAAAAGAAACUAACAAGGAUUCCCCUAGUAACGGCGAGUGAAGCGGGAAGAGCUCAAAUUUGAAAUCUUAAAGGGUUUCCCUUUACGAAUUGUAGUUUAAAGAAGUGUUUUCUGUUGAGGUUUUGGUAAAAGUUCUUUGGAAUAGGACAUCAUAGAGGGUGAGAAUCCCGUAUUUGACCUUUACUUUCAACUUUGUGAUACACUUUCAAAGAGUCGGAUUGUUUGGGAAUGCAGUCCAAAAUGGGUGGUAAAUUUCAUCUAAAGCUAAAUAUUGGCGAGAGACCGAUAGCGAACAAGUACCGUGAGGGAAAGAUGAAAAGAACUUUGAAAAGAGAGUUAAACAGUACGUGAAAUUGUCAAAAGGGAAGCGUUUGACACCAGUGUUGUUUUUCUGAAAAUCAAUUAAAGAACUGUUUAUGCUAAGCUGUUUAGACUUUAUCAGCUAAUCUGUUUAGUUUUGAGCUUUUCUUUAAUGCACUUUUCAGUUAACAAGUCAACAUCAAUUUCUUUUGCUGUAAAAAAGCUUGAGGAAGGUGGCUUGAGAUUCGUCUUAAGUGUUUAUAGCCUCUUGCCUAUGCAGUCGGAGAGAUUGAGGUCUGCAGCGUAGAUCCUUCGGGGCUAAAUGCAUUUGUGCUAAGUUAUAGCAUUUUAUAGACAAUUUGUUGACUAUGAUUUGUCUUGUAGCUUACUCGCUUAUGUUAUUUUACCUACGCUUAGGAUGUUGAUCUACAGAGCGAGAGU
This 775-nucleotide ribosomal RNA is filed under the name uncultured Neocallimastigales. RNAcentral's name for it is "partial large subunit ribosomal RNA". It matches the Rfam family "Eukaryotic large subunit ribosomal RNA", at positions 24 to 635 of the family's 3401-position model. Lineage: Eukaryota; Fungi; Neocallimastigomycota; Neocallimastigomycetes; Neocallimastigales. The record is from RNAcentral.